Talpa occidentalis (Iberian mole) is the source of this 4886-nucleotide RNA transcript. It is a transcript of the gene named ERI1 exoribonuclease family member 3, with no coding region annotated. NCBI's taxonomy places the organism in Eukaryota, Metazoa, Chordata, Mammalia, Eulipotyphla, Talpidae. The record is from RefSeq and is a predicted model, not a curated record. The transcript is spliced from 9 exons.
CCGAGGGGGACGUCGGGGCCUGCACUUGGAGGGAGCCUGCCGCACUGGCCCCGAGGAAGGGGCGUUGCCAUGGCGACAGCCUCUCCCGCCGCUGACGGGGGGCGGGGGCGGCCCUGGGAAGGAGGGCUGGUCUCCUGGCCCCCAGCCCCACCCAUUACGCUCCCCUGGACUUGGAUGGGCCCGAGUUGGGGGCAACACCCCGGGCAUUGGGGCUUUCCUGCUCUCACAGAGCCUUCAGCAUCCCCAGCUGCCAAUCUUGGCAUCUUCGAAGUAAGGAGAGUUUUAGAUGCUUCUGGAUGUUCAAUGCUAGCACCUUUACAGACUGGAGCAGCUCGAUUUUCUUCAUAUUUACUUUCAAGAGCAAGAAAAGUGCUGGGCUCCCACUUAUUUUCUCCCUGUGGUGUUCCGGAGUUCUGCUCCAUAUCCACCAGAAAGCUGGCGGCCCACGGCUUUGGCGCAUCCAUGUCGACAAUGGUGUCCUUCCCUCUCCAGAGGUAUCACUACUUUUUAGUGCUGGACUUUGAGGCCACGUGCGACAAACCACAGAUUCAUCCUCAGGAAAUUAUUGAGUUCCCCAUCCUGAAGCUAAAUGGCCAGACCAUGGAAAUUGAGUCUACCUUUCACAUGUACGUCCAGCCUGUAGUCCAUCCACAGCUUACUCCCUUCUGUACAGAGCUCACCGGGAUUAUUCAAGCCAUGGUGGAUGGUCAGCCACGCCUGCAGCAAGUGCUGGAGAAAGUCCAUGAGUGGAUGGCGAAGGAAGGCCUCUUAGAUCCAAACGUCAAGUCAAUUUUUGUCACCUGUGGAGAUUGGGACUUAAAAGUCAUGCUUCCAGGCCAGUGCCAGCACUUGGGUUUGCCAGUGGCGGAUUACUUCAAGCAGUGGAUUAAUCUGAAAAAGGAGGAAGUUCUGCUCUCCCGCUGUGACAGGGAAAGACAAGAAGAUGGGUGCAGUUAGGUGCAGGCAGCACCUGCGGACUUGGUGAUGGCAAGUGGAAGUAGUUCCUGAUGACUUUUAUUUGUCUCUCUGAAAUAGGAGUGUCAGCUCUUGGGAGAUAAUCCAGAGGCUGUGGAGGGAAUACUGCUGUAUUUGGAGUCGGGGCCAGCUGGAGCUGGAAUGUCUUCUUUCUUCUCAUCUCCCUGCCCCCAUGGUUUAGUGCCCUGCCUGGGCUUUUCCUUUAAAUAUGUCUUACAGCUGUCUGAACUCUGAAAUUUCUUUCACUCCUUCCCUCGCCUUGUUAACAUGUGUUGCCUUUGGGGUAAUCAGGGAAAAAAUAUUAUGUCCUUUUACAAUUACCGGGUUUUGGAAUAUUAAAAUGUCUCGCUGCAUCGGCACUGUUAUUUUGAUUGGUAUUCUAACCUUUGACUAGCCCAUAAAGCGCGCCGCUCCUGAAGCCAAUAUUGCAGGACUGAAAUUUAAUUCCGAAAUGAUUCCAGAUAAUAGGGAGACAGAUAAUAUAUGCAUGAAGGAUAUUAUGUUUGGACUAACUGCAGCAGGGCCAGGGCUGGGGAGCUGAAUAAUAGCCCAGAGUGAGUUAUAAUCUGUGGGACAGAAAUGCCUUACUGUCAGGGCCAGAAGAGGAACUCUUAAAUCAAAGGCAUAGGAAAGGGUGUGAUUGCAGUGUGCUUGUUUUGACAGGAAGAGCACUGGAGCCAAGAGGGUAGGUAUUGAAGACUGUGACCCAUUGGCUUAUCCUUUCUCUUGAGCAAGAUCCACGAGACCCUGGAUGAUCUCACUCUUUGCAGCAUCCCUAUCUUCAUAUCUUCUGUUUCUCUAACAUUCUAGCCAUCUCAGGCUUCUUGCUGCUCUUCAAAUAUACAGGACUGUUUUACCUUCUGUUCCCUUUGCUCAUAUUUUCUUUCCCCUUUUAGUGUGUUGGGAAAACUCCUACUCAUCCUUCAAAACCCUCUUUUACAACACCUCCUCUAAUGUUUCUCCACCUCUGGUAUAAAUAGUCUCCACCUCCUUUGUACAGCUUUAGUACUUUCUUUGAAUAUAUCACAUGCUCUUAUAAUUAUCUGCUUACAUGUUCUGUUUCCCACAAGGCUGUGAGUUCCCUGAGAUCUGCAUGCCAUCCAUUUAUGUAUUUCCAGUGCUCAGCCCUGAUCCUGGCACACACUAGGUAAAAACCAGCAUAAACUGAACCCAUGCUGGAUAUCAAGCUGGACGGAGUUCUGGGGUCCAGAUGCUUAUUCCCCUCCAACAUUUCCCAGACAAAUAGAGAAGUUAAGUGACAGGCCUUAGGGCACAUAGCCACAUGGGUUAAAGCUAGGAUUUGAACGCAGGUAGGUAUUUUUUUUAACCCAGACAAUAUGUGCAGGUAGCCAGGAAGGAGUUGGAGGCCAGGGUAGGGAAAGACAGAGACUCAAUUCCCUUCAAUAGCCAGGGCUUGAAUCUUUGCUAGAGAUUGCACUGGCUCCUAACAUUCAUGGGACUUAAGUCCUAGAAGGGAUGGUGCCUCCUGUUGCUGCUAAUCACCUUUGACAGUUUUUCACACAGAAGACACUUACCUAUUUGAGUUUGUAAUUAUGGAUCAGGAAAGUACCCCAAGAAAGGUACUCAGGUGUGAUACUGGAGAACUCUUGGAGACAUACACAGGCAGAGCACAUGGAGCUCUUGGUGAUGUCAGAAAACUUCACAGACAUUACCUUCUCCCUUGAACACUUGGUGGAACUUGGAUUUUGGUUCUUUAGUGAUUAAAAAAAAUGCAUAAUGCAAAAACUACAGUGAAUUUGGUGACUUUUACAAGGAUUUAUAUUUUGUUGAUUACAGUAGCAUCUGCAUAAACCGGGACAAACUAGCAUAAUAAUAUGUGAGACUCACCCUUCACUUAGUCUUCAGGUGAUGCUUGGGGUGUGCACUGUCCCCCUGGGAAGUGGCUCAUAGUGGUCAGCCUCUGCUCCUCCCCUGUCUUCUCACUGACCACCGGAGGAGAGAUGACUAAGCUUCAAGGAAGAGAGGGAGGGAACUUUAAGCCUUUGUGAGCAAGAGCUAGGAAAAAGAGACUUCCCCAGCAGAAUUCAAGUGAGCUCCAGAGGAGAAGAACCUAAUGCUGUUCACCCUCAUCUCACAGUGAAGAAUAGGGUCGAAGAACAGGGCUGUCCUUGAUUCCAGCUGCCAUCAUCAUGCCUGGCUGGCCAGUGCAGUACAGUCACACUCGCUUUCAGAUGGUUUCGGGCUCUGACACCUGUCUUAAGACCUUGGAUGAGUUACCUUCUCAGAACCUUAAUUUUCUCACUUAAACAACAGAGAUUAAUAACAAUACUACUAUAAAAAAAUGCUUUCUAUGAAUUGACUCACCUAAUCCUCAAGCAAUUCUAUAAGUACUAUUAUUAGCCAUCUUACAGAUGAGGAAACAAGUACAGAGAGAUUAAGAACCUACUACAGGAUUCCAUGCCUCCAGCACAAAGGUGGAAGGAGUUUUUUCUCCUUGGGGCCAGAGAGAAAGUCCACAGAGGUUUCAUGAGGAGACACUUAAAGUUGGUCCAUGAAAGAUGAGUAAGUUUUCAGGAGAUGGUGGAAAGAGCCCUGUAGGCAGAGGGAGCAGUGUGAGCAACAGCCCGUGAGAGGAGAAGCAGCUGCUGGACUAGGGAACUACAAACAUCAGUUUCUGACUACUGAUGCCAUGUGUAAGCUUGUGGGGAAAGCAGAGGAAAUGCGAGCAAGCACGCACAAUAAGAAAACCUUGCCCAGUGUCUCAAGUAGAGCUACCAUAAGCUGCCUUCUAAGAAUGGGCCUGUAGCUCCAGAAAACUUCCAUGCUCUGUCCAUUGAAGAAAGAAAGAGCCUGUAGGCCAGGGAGGGAAAGAGGCCGCCCUGCCUUGUAGCAUUUUUGUCUGUGGACCAUCUUAAGGCCGCUAUGCCGGAAGACCCCGGGAUCCUGAUGGUAACAGGGAAAUUGCAACAUGAGGAAUCACUUAAGUGGUCAUGUUUGUAAAGUUCUGAGGAGUGCAAUACCCCGUGUGUGGAUAGGCAGCCCAGCACACCCUUAGCCUGGAAGCUCUUUGGCCUUAUUCUGCUUCCCUGGUGAGUGAGUGGGGAAGGAACAGACCAGCAAACCAGCUCUAGACAGCUAGAAUUCUUUCUUGGUGAGGUUCCUGCAGCUGCUACAUAUCUAUCUCUACUCUGUGAUAGCCUCUGCGAUGGGUCUUUACAGAAGGCCUGCCCUGGUGUGUGUGCCUUUCCACGGCAGCUGCUCAGUCUCUCCAGGCAAGUGGUGCCACUGCUUCAUCCUGGUCCCAUGACAAACCCCUUCUGUCUUUCCUUUGUGUCUUUGGGGAAGAGAAAUCUGAGCUUGUACUAGCACACAGGAGAGUGGGGAGCUGUCCUGGGUCUGUUUGAAGCUAGGAUUUAACCUUAAACAUCCUGACCCUAGCCCCUACGCCUAGAGUAGGUUAUUGUGUAUGACCUGGUCUGUCUCUGCAGGAGCAUGAGCCAGUUGAGGAAAGGGACUAGAUCUGCUGCUUCUCUCAAUUCACAGAUUUGGGCAAGCAGGGGGAUCUCAAGAUACUGAUAGAGGCAUAGAUACUGUGGGAGGGCUGGGAACAGUUUGGGAGAGAGAUGGACUCAUCACUGCUCAGUGUUUAAUCUGAGAACACUAAGGAAACUCUAACUCUGCCUUCUCCCAGCUUUGUUUUUCUGUUUUUCUUGUUGCUAUACUCUGGGCCUUGGAAACUGGAGGGAAUUGCAGAAAAGGUGAGGAAAGGACAGGGAGAGGCCCUGAAGCAGAGAGACCCAGACCUACCUCCCUUCUCCCACUUCAUCCUGCAGCCCACUCUGGAAGACAAGACCCCGUCUGUUCCUAUCAACAGCAGACCACCAACGCACUGAGUCCCAGUGGGUGCCAGUCUCAUUGCUGGGUGCUUGACACACAUUAUUAUAUUUCAU